GAGUUUGAUCGUGGCUCAGAUUGAACGCUGGCGGCAUGCCUUACACAUGCAAGUCGAGCGGCAGCGCGGGGGCAACCCUGGCGGCGAGCGGCGAACGGGUGAGUAAUGCAUCGGAACGUGUCCUCUUGUGGGGGAUAACCAGUCGAAAGACUGGCUAAUACCGCAUGAGAUCGAGAGAUGAAAGCAGGGGACCGCAAGGCCUUGCGCGAGAGGAGCGGCCGAUGCCGGAUUAGCUAGUUGGUGGGGUAACGGCCUACCAAGGCGACGAUCCGUAGCUGGUCUGAGAGGACGACCAGCCACACUGGGACUGAGACACGGCCCAGACUCCUACGGGAGGCAGCAGUGGGGAAUUUUGGACAAUGGGGGCAACCCUGAUCCAGCCAUGCCGCGUGUGUGAAGAAGGCCUUC
This 408-nucleotide ribosomal RNA is filed under the name uncultured beta proteobacterium. Its description in RNAcentral is "bacterial SSU rRNA". It matches the Rfam family "Bacterial small subunit ribosomal RNA", at positions 9 to 419 of the family's 1533-position model. Lineage: Bacteria; Pseudomonadati; Pseudomonadota; Betaproteobacteria. The record is from RNAcentral.